This 397-nucleotide ribosomal RNA is filed under the name uncultured bacterium. RNAcentral's name for it is "partial 16S ribosomal RNA". It matches the Rfam family "Bacterial small subunit ribosomal RNA", at positions 523 to 918 of the family's 1533-position model. The record is from RNAcentral.
AUACGUAGGUGACAAGCGUUAUCCGGAUUUACUGGGCGUAAAGGGCGUGUAGGCGGUCUUGCAAGUCAGAAGUGAAAUUCCUGAGCUCAACUCGGGCGCUACUUCUGAAACUGCAGGACUUGAGUGCUGGAGGGGAUAGCGGAAUUCCUAGUGGAGCGGUAAAAUGCGCAGAUAUUAGGAAGAACACCGGUGGCGAAGGCGGCUAUCUGGACAUUAACUGACGCUGAGGCGCGAAAGGGUGGGGAGCAAAAAGGAUUAGAUUCCCCGGUAGUCCACGCCGUAAACGAUGAAUACUAGGUGGAGGGGGUAUCGACUCCCUCUGUGCCGCAGUUAACACAAUAAGUAUUCCGCCUGGGGAGUACGGCCGCAAGGUUGAAACUCAAAUGAAUUGACGGGG